Molecule: non-coding RNA, 75 nt
Organism: Podarcis lilfordi (Lilford's wall lizard)
Lineage: Eukaryota; Metazoa; Chordata; Lepidosauria; Squamata; Lacertidae
Source: the annotation of a GenBank genome assembly
ACCUGGGGUAGCUCAGUCGGUAGAGCACGAGACCUUUAAAUCUCAGGGUUGUGGGUUCGAGACCCACAUGGGGCA